Molecule: ribosomal RNA, 465 nt
Filed under: Vreelandella stevensii
Lineage: Bacteria; Pseudomonadati; Pseudomonadota; Gammaproteobacteria; Oceanospirillales; Halomonadaceae
Description: partial 16S ribosomal RNA
Rfam family: Bacterial small subunit ribosomal RNA
Source: RNAcentral
CCUACGGGGGGCAGCAGUGGGGAAUAUUGGACAAUGGGGGCAACCCUGAUCCAGCCAUGCCGCGUGUGUGAAGAAGGCCCUCGGGUUGUAAAGCACUUUCAGUGAGGAAGAACGCCUGGUGGUUAAUACCCAUCAGGAAAGACAUCACUCACAGAAGAAGCACCGGCUAACUCCGUGCCAGCAGCCGCGGUAAUACGGAGGGUGCGAGCGUUAAUCGGAAUUACUGGGCGUAAAGCGCGCGUAGGUGGCUUGAUAAGCCGGUUGUGAAAGCCCCGGGCUCAACCGGGGAACGGCAUCCGGAACUGUCAAGCUAGAGUGCAGGAGAGGAAGGUAGAAUUCCCGGUGUAGCGGUGAAAUGCGUAGAGAUCGGGAGGAAUACCAGUGGCGAAGGCGGACUUCUGGACUGACACUGACACUGAGGUGCGAAAGCGUGGGUAGCAAACAGGAUUAGAUACCCGUGUAGUC